AGAGCUGUUUCAGCCUCCGCGGCUAAUGCUUUGGUUCUGUGCUAAUGAGGCUUUACUUUGCUGGGAACAGCAUUUCUUCCAGAGAGGGCUUGCCUUAGACAUGGGCUUUAAGAAGUAAUUUGAUAUCCAGCCACCCACCUCUCAGCCUACAGCACUUAGUGCUUUCCCUCAGCGGAGGUCUGUGGGUGCAGUCACGCUACUUCAUCUGUGCCACUCCGGAGGAGCCUAAUUACCUGGAGGAGGGGUUUGGAGAAACAGCUGGCCACUGUGGCAUGCAAAUUUAAUAAUCCUAGUAACAUCCAUCCUGAAGGAGUCCUAAGUAUUGCACAAAUUAUAUCUCUGCAUAAAUGGAUCCCACAUCAGCUGUUUAAUCCCACAUAUCAGCACUGCACGAUGAUGAUGAGAAGCUCCAGAAUGGGAAGCAAGAGUUUCACAUCCAGCUGAAAUUGCAAGGGUGAUUUUGAUGGACAGAACACGAAGGUCUGAACUAAGGUUGUCAGGAGGCUGGCCAGCAGCUGGGCCGGCAGGGACAGGCACGUGAGUGGAUGAGGGGAGCUCACUGUUUAACAGCUGCUUGUUCCGUGGCUUGGUUGCUGUGUAACCAACAACGUGACUUUUCCCCCCCAUAGAUUAGUGUCCCAAACAGUGAAAUGUCAUAAAAUACUGGGCUUGCAGAGCUCUGUGUGGAAAUACUUGGCUCGUAGUCCAUCUGCUCACCUUUCUAUGUCAGGAAUGGAAACUAGCUGUCUUGAGGCUUUGCUCACAUCUUGUACUCUGGAUUGUUGCUCACCCUGCUCAGUGUGAGAAGGGAGAAAAUGGAUCAGGCUGAAGUGAGGGCACGAGCGAGGAAACUGUGAAAAGGCUCCUUAAAGACCUGGAAGGUUUUUGCAUUUAUGGCAUUUUUCUGAGUGCUGAUUACCUGUGUGAGCCAGGCUGUGUAAUUAGCUGCUUGCCCUGAUAAAGGAGCACGGGACAAUGUGAGAGUUGUGAUAACAGAAUUGCAUUCUGCCUAAAUGACUGGGCAGAGAGAGCGCUCACCCUAGAUAGCCUGUCUGUGGUUUAAUAGGGAGCUUCAGCACUAACGCAGUUUAAACUAAACAAGAUAAAAGAGUCUUCCUGCGGCUUAAUCCAAUUACAGUGGGGUUGUAAUAAUGCUUGUGAAUGUGGGUCGCUCUCUCCUAGGGGGCACGCGGAGGAGGCCGCCUUUCCUCUGCUUCUGCUGCCUCCCUCUGUCGACAGGCAGCUCUGGUCUGGCCCUGGGACCAGCCGUCUGGCCGUGGGGACGUGCCUGCGGUCUGCAGCGCUGGACCUUGAGCGUGGCUCCCACACGCCUGCUCCUCCAGCCUCCCGUGCGGCAGACCCACGGUCUGGCUCUGCCGGGUGCCGUGUCCUUCCCACCGUGCAGCACCCGCUGCAACGGGGCUGCUCUGGCUGCCGCCCGAUGUGGCAGCAUGUCCUGGUGCCCAAACCCGCCAGACAGUGGCACACCAAGGACUUGGUUUUGCCAAAGUGUACAGACUGUGUCUGAACUUAGAUUCCUGACAAUCCGCUCAAACUGGCAGGACUGAGUGUGUGGGUGGGGAGGAAAGGAGGAGAGGUGGGAGGCGGGAGCGGGGGUGGGAGAGGUGUGGUUCCUGCGCAGCUCCUGCUGCAGACUGAAGGCCCGCUCCAGCUGCAGCUUUGCUCCGGGGCGAGAGACCCAGGUGCUGCUCUGCCAGGGCCGCCCUGCACAGCUUCAGUGGGGCAGACCCUCCCGUGGGGCCAGCGGUUUGGGGGCCCCGUUUGCCAAAGGCCUGUGUGUGGUAGCAGUAACUGUGCUGACUGCUGGGCAGUGGGGAGAUCACCCCGCGCUUGGAGGGCUGGGCUGGGGGACACCUUCCUUACUGGGUGUCACUCCAUCAAGUCCAUCUCUUUGUAGCACGUACUCAAGGAGUGUCUUCCCCCAGCUCCAUGAGAAGGACCAUUCCUUGUGCCUGGGGUGCUGGGUGCCCCAUGCUGGGUGCUGUGUCCUCCGUCGCGCACAUUGCUCUUGGCCAAGCGCAGGAUGUGGUGAGCUGGACCGCGCGGUGCCGGCAGCUCUGCUGCAGCUGCUCAGGCCGGCUCCCUUCCCGCGCUGCCGCGCCGAGGGCACGCUGCCGUCGCGGAGCUGCACUGCUUGGGCACCGCUCUGCCGCCAGAGGUGGUGGGAUCCUCCCUGCCUGCAGGAGCCUAGCAGAUGAUGCUUGGAAGAAGUCUUCAGCAGGAUGAUGCGGAGGCAGAGCACUCAGGGCUAAUUGCUGAGGACGUUGCCUGUGACGGUUGCAUUUUGGCAGAAGCAGGAAUGGUUUUGCUGGCAUUCCUGUGGGGCCCGGGGAUGCCAAGCUCUUGCCACUGGCUGCUUUUUGCUCUGCUGGUCACGUCCCGUGCAGCUCCGAGGGUGCCUGGUGCCGCCAGGACAGGCAGCUCAGUGCGGGGGACACAUCAGAGGGGCCCGAAUGGCUGCUCAGCAGGGCCGUGUCCCCAGGAGGCAGCGCUGUGUGCCAGGCCUGGCGCUGCUGGCUCCUGCCGUCAGCUGCCAGCGGCACCGGCCCCCGCGCUGCCCCGCUGGCUGUCGGGCCAGCCUGGCUGCCCACCAAAUCCUGUUUGAAAAUGUUACUAUUUAAAAAUGGUGCGUGUUUCUUUGCAGAAGCUUGGCCACAAAACUGUGUAUCAUACAGGGGGUCGAGUGGAGCAGGGGCUUGCAAACAGCAGUUGAUGAAACACGAAGACCGGCCAAUGCACUUUGCUCCCUUUGCUGAUCAGACAAUAAACACGCUUUUCUCUCCUGCA
Long non-coding RNA from Columba livia (rock pigeon), 2808 nucleotides. RefSeq lists it as uncharacterized. NCBI's taxonomy places the organism in Eukaryota, Metazoa, Chordata, Aves, Columbiformes, Columbidae. The transcript is spliced from 2 exons. The record is from RefSeq and is a predicted model, not a curated record.